RNAcentral lists this ribosomal RNA (543 nucleotides) under uncultured bacterium. RNAcentral describes it as "bacterial SSU rRNA". It matches the Rfam family "Bacterial small subunit ribosomal RNA", at positions 777 to 1314 of the family's 1533-position model. The record is from RNAcentral.
AAUAGAUACCCAGGUAGUCCAUGCCGUAAACGUUAGGCACUAGGUGUGGGGGACAUUCCACGUUUUCCGCGCCGUAGCUAACGCAUUAAGUGCCCCGCCUGGGGAGUACGGCCGCAAGGCUAAAACUCAAAGGAAUUGACGGGGGCCCGCACAAGCGGCGGAGCAUGCGGAUUAAUUCGAUGCAACGCGAAGAACCUUACCAAGGCUUGACAUGUGCCAGACCGCUCCAGAGAUGGGGUUUUCCCUUCGGGGCUGGUUCACAGGUGGUGCAUGGUUGUCGUCAGCUCGUGUCGUGAGAUGUUGGGUUAAGUCCCGCAACGAGCGCAACCCUCGUUCCAUGUUGCCAGCACGUAGUGGUGGGGACUCAUGGGAGACUGCCGGGGUCAACUCGGAGGAAGGUGGGGAUGACGUCAAAUCAUCAUGCCCCUUAUGUCUUGGGCUUCACGCAUGCUACAAUGGCCGGUACAAUGGGUUGCGAUACUGUGAGGUGGAGCUAAUCCCUAAAAGUCCGGUCUCAGUUCGGAUUGGGGUCUGCAACGUCCG